GGGGAAUUUUCCGCAAUGGGCGAAAGCCUGACGGAGCAAUACCGCGUGAGGGAUGACGGCCUAUGGGUUGUAAACCUCUUUUUUCAGGGUAGGAAUCAAUGACGUGUACCUGAAGAAUAAGCAUCGGCUAACUCCGUGCCAGCAGCCGCGGUAAGACGGAGGAUGCAAGUGUUAUCCGGAAUCACUGGGCGUAAAGCGUCUGUAGGUGGUUUGAUAAGUCAACUGUUAAAUCUUGAGGCUCAACCUCAAAAUCGCAGUCGAAACUAUUAGACUAGAGUAUAGUAGGGGUAAAGGGAAUUUCCAGUGGAGCGGUGAAAUGCGUAGAUAUUGGAAAGAACACCGAUGGCGAAGGCACUUUACUGGGCUAUUACUAACACUCAGAGACGAAAGCUAGGGUAGCAAAUGGGAUUAGAUACCCCAGUAGUC
RNAcentral lists this ribosomal RNA (426 nucleotides) under uncultured cyanobacterium. RNAcentral's name for it is "bacterial SSU rRNA". It matches the Rfam family "Bacterial small subunit ribosomal RNA", at positions 356 to 795 of the family's 1533-position model. The record is from RNAcentral. Lineage: Bacteria; Bacillati; Cyanobacteriota.